Small nucleolar RNA from Suncus etruscus (white-toothed pygmy shrew), 128 nucleotides. The record is from RefSeq and is a predicted model, not a curated record. NCBI's taxonomy places the organism in Eukaryota, Metazoa, Chordata, Mammalia, Eulipotyphla, Soricidae.
AGGUCCAUCCUAAUCCCUGCUGGCUCCCAGUAGCCUGGAGGGUUCGCUUGUGGACCAGAGCACCCUGGAUGCUCUCCCAGGGAGACAGGGCUGCUGUGUUCUGUCUUGGGGAGAACACCUAGACAUUG